GGUUAAGUUAGAAAGGGCGCACGGUGGAUGCCUUGACACUAGGAGUCGAUGAAGGACGGGACUAACGCCGAUAUGCUUCGGGGAGCUGUAAGUAAGCUUUGAUCCGAAGAUUUCCGAAUGGGGAAACCCACCAUACGUAAUGGUAUGGUAUCCUUAUCUGAAUACAUAGGGUAAGGAAGACAGACCCAGGGAACUGAAACAUCUAAGUACCUGGAGGAAGAGAAAGCAAAUGCGAUUUCCUGAGUAGCGGCGAGCGAAACGGAACAUAGCCCAAACCAAGAGGCUUGCCUCUUGGGGUUGUAGGACAUUCUAUACGGAGUUACAAAGGAACGAGGUAGACGAAGCGACCUGGAAAGGUCCGUCGUAGAGGGUAACAACCCCGUAGUCGAAACUUCGUUCUCUCUUGAAUGUAUCCUGAGUACGGCGGAACACGUGAAAUUCCGUCGGAAUCUGGGAGGACCAUCUCCCAAGGCUAAAUACUCCCUAGUGAUCGAUAGUGAACCAGUACCGUGAGGGAAAGGUGAAAAGCACCCCGGAAGGGGAGUGAAAGAGAUCCUGAAACCGUGUGCCUACAAAUAGUCAGAGCCCGUUAACGGGUGAUGGCGUGCCUUUUGUAGAAUGAACCGGCGAGUUACGAUCCCGUGCGAGGUUAAGCUGAAGAGGCGGAGCCGCAGCGAAAGCGAGUCUGAAUAGGGCGUUUAGUACGUGGUCGUAGACCCGAAACCAGGUGAUCUACCCAUGUCCAGGGUGAAGUUCAGGUAACACUGAAUGGAGGCCCGAACCCACGCACGUUGAAAAGUGCGGGGAUGAGGUGUGGGUAGCGGAGAAAUUCCAAUCGAACCUGGAGAUAGCUGGUUCUCCCCGAAAUAGCUUUAGGGCUAGCCUUAAGUGUAAGAGUCUUGGAGGUAGAGCACUGAUUGGACUAGGGGUCCUCAUCGGAUUACCGAAUUCAGUCAAACUCCGAAUGCCAAUGACUUAUCCUUAGGAGUCAGACUGCGAGUGAUAAGAUCCGUAGUCAAAAGGGAAACAGCCCAGACCGCCAGCUAAGGUCCCAAAGUGUGUAUUAAGUGGAAAAGGAUGUGGAGUUGCUUAGACAACUAGGAUGUUGGCUUAGAAGCAGCCACCAUUUAAAGAGUGCGUAAUAGCUCACUAGUCGAGUGACUCUGCGCCGAAAAUGUACCGGGGCUAAAUACACCACCGAAGCUGCGGAUUGAUACCAAUGGUAUCAGUGGUAGGGGAGCGUUCUAAGGACAGUGAAGUCAGACCGGAAGGACUGGUGGAGUGCUUAGAAGUGAGAAUGCCGGUAUGAGUAGCGAAAGACGGGUGAGAAUCCCGUCCACCGAAUGCCUAAGGUUUCCUGAGGAAGGCUCGUCCGCUCAGGGUUAGUCAGGACCUAAGCCGAGGCCGACAGGCGUAGGCGAUGGACAACAGGUUGAUAUUCCUGUACCACCUCUUUAUCGUUUGAGCAAUGGAGGGACGCAGAAGGAUAGAAGAAGCGUGCGAUUGGUUGUGCACGUCCAAGCAGUUAGGCUGAUAAGUAGGCAAAUCCGCUUAUCGUAAAGGCUGAGCUGUGAUGGGGAAGCUCCUUAUGGAGCGAAGUCUUUGAUUCCCCGCUGCCAAGAAAAGCUUCUAGCGAGAUAAAAGGUGCCUGUACCGCAAACCGACACAGGUAGGCGAGGAGAGAAUCCUAAGGUGUGCGAGAGAACUCUGGUUAAGGAACUCGGCAAAAUGACCCCGUAACUUCGGGAGAAGGGGUGCUUUCUUAACGGAAAGCCGCAGUGAAUAGGCCCAAGCGACUGUUUAGCAAAAACACAGCUCUCUGCGAAGCCGUAAGGCGAAGUAUAGGGGUGACACCUGCCCGGUGCUGGAAGGUUAAGGAGAGGGGUUAGCGUAAGCGAAGCUCUGAACUGAAGCCCCAGUAAACGGCGGCCGUAACUAUAACGGUCCUAAGGUAGCGAAAUUCCUUGUCGGGUAAGUUCCGACCCGCACGAAAGGUGUAACGAUUUGGGCACUGUCUCAACCAGAGACUCGGUGAAAUUAUAGUACCUGUGAAGAUGCAGGUUACCCGCGACAGGACGGAAAGACCCCGUGGAGCUUUACUGUAGCCUGAUAUUGAAUUUUGGUACAGUUUGUACAGGAUAGGCGGGAGCCUUUGAAACCGGAGCGCUAGCUUCGGUGGAGGCGCUGGUGGGAUACCGCCCUGACUGUAUUGAAAUUCUAACCUACGGGUCUUAUCGACCCGGGAGACAGUGUCAGGUGGGCAGUUUGACUGGGGCGGUCGCCUCCUAAAGUGUAACGGAGGCGCCCAAAGGUUCCCUCAGAAUGGUUGGAAAUCAUUCGUAGAGUGCAAAGGCAUAAGGGAGCUUGACUGCGAGACCUACAAGUCGAGCAGGGACGAAAGUCGGGCUUAGUGAUCCGGUGGUUCCGCAUGGAAGGGCCAUCGCUCAACGGAUAAAAGCUACCCCGGGGAUAACAGGCUUAUCUCCCCAAGAGUCCACAUCGACGGGGAGGUUUGGCACCUCGAUGUCGGCUCAUCGCAUCCUGGGGCUGUAGUCGGUCCCAAGGGUUGGGCUGUUCGCCCAUUAAAGCGGUACGCGAGCUGGGUUCAGAACGUCGUGAGACAGUUCGGUCCCUAUCCGUCGUGGGCGUAGGAAAUUUGAGAGGAGCUGUCCUUAGUACGAGAGGACCGGGAUGGACGCACCGCUGGUGUACCAGUUGUUCUGCCAAGGGCAUAGCUGGGUAGCUAUGUGCGGAAGGGAUAAGUGCUGAAAGCAUCUAAGCAUGAAGCCCCCCUCAAGAUGAGAUUUCCCAUAGCGUAAGCUAGUAAGAUCCCUGAAAGAUGAUCAGGUUGAUAGGUUCGAGGUGGAAGCAUGGUGACAUGUGGAGCUGACGAAUACUAAUAGAUCGAGGACUUAACCAU
Molecule: ribosomal RNA, 2920 nt
Filed under: Bacillus pacificus
Lineage: Bacteria; Bacillati; Bacillota; Bacilli; Caryophanales; Bacillaceae
Description: 23S ribosomal RNA
Rfam family: Bacterial large subunit ribosomal RNA
Source: RNAcentral